RNAcentral lists this ribosomal RNA (253 nucleotides) under uncultured bacterium. RNAcentral describes it as "partial 16S ribosomal RNA". It matches the Rfam family "Bacterial small subunit ribosomal RNA", at positions 524 to 776 of the family's 1533-position model. The record is from RNAcentral.
UACGGAGGGUGCGAGCGUUGUCCGGAUUUAUUGGGUUUAAAGGGUGCGUAGGCGGCCGAGUAAGUCUGGGGUGAAAGCCCACUGCUCAACAGUGGAACUGCCCUGGAAACUGCACGGCUUGAGUACAGACGAGGUUGGCGGAAUGGGCACUGUAGCGGUGAAAUGCAUAGAUAGUGCCCAGAACCCCGAUUGCGAAGGCAGCUGACUAGGCUGUAACUGACGCUGAGGCACGAAAGCGUGGGGAGCGAACAGG